Molecule: ribosomal RNA, 458 nt
Filed under: uncultured bacterium
Lineage: Bacteria
Description: SSU rRNA
Rfam family: Bacterial small subunit ribosomal RNA
Source: RNAcentral
AGAAUCAACGCUGGCGGCGUGCCUAACACAUGCAAGUCGAACGAGAAAGGGGAGCAAUCCCUGAGUAAAGUGGCGCACGGGUGAGUAACACGUGACUAACCUACCCUGGAGUGGGGGAUAACUGAGGGAAACCUUAGCUAAUACCGCAUAACACCUACGGGUCAAAGGAGCAAUUCGCUUUGGGAGGGGGUCGCGGCCGAUUAGUUAGUUGGCGGGGUAAUGGCCCACCAAGACAGUGAUCGGUAUCCGGCCUGAGAGGGCGCACGGACACACUGGAACUGAAACACGGUCCAGACUCCUACGGGAGGCAGCAGUGGGGAAUUUUGCGCAAUGGGGGAAACCCUGACGCAGCAACGCCGCGUGGAGGAUGAAGUACUUCGGUACGUAAACUCCUUUCGAUCGGGACGAUAAUGACGGUACCGGAAGAGAAGCCCGGCUAACUUCGCGCCAGCAGCCGC